UACCGUGAAACUGCGAAUGGCUCAUUAAAUCAGUUAUCGUUUAUUUGAUAGUACCUUACCACUUGGAUAACCGUGGUAAUUCUAGAGCUAAUACAUGCUAAAAACCCCGACUUCGGAAGGGGUGUGUUUAUUAGAUAAAAAACCAAUGCCCUUCGGGGCUCUUUGGUGAUUCAUGAUAACCUAACGGAUCGCAUGGCCUUGCGCCGGCGACGGUUCAUUCAAAUUUCUGCCCUAUCAACUUUCGAUGGUAAGGUAUUGGCUUACCAUGGUUUCAACGGGUAACGGGGAAUUAGGGUUCGAUUCCGGAGAGGGAGCCUGAGAAACGGCUACCACAUCCAAGGAAGGCAGCAGGCGCGCAAAUUACCCAAUCCCGACACGGGGAGGUAGUGACAAUAAAUACUGAUACAGGGCUCUUUUGGGUCUUGUAAUUGGAAUGAGUACAAUUUAAACCCCUUAACGAGGAACAAUUGGAGGGCAAGUCUGGUGCCAGCAGCCGCGGUAAUUCCAGCUCCAAUAGCGUAUAUUAAAGUUGUUGCAGUUAAAAAGCUCGUAGUUGAAACUUGGGUCUGGCUAGCGGGUCCGCCUCACCGCGUGCACUUGUCCGGCUGGACCUUUCCUUCUGGAGAACCUCAUGCCCUUCACUGGGUGUGUUGGGGAACCAGGACUUUUACUUUGAAAAAAUUAGAGUGUUCAAAGCAGGCCUUUGCUCGAAUACGUUAGCAUGGAAUAAUAGAAUAGGACGUGCGGUCCUAUUUUGUUGGUUUCUAGGAUCGCCGUAAUGAUUAAUAGGGAUAGUCGGGGGCAUCAGUAUUCAAUUGUCAGAGGUGAAAUUCUUGGAUUUAUUGAAGACUAACUACUGCGAAAGCAUUUGCCAAGGAUGUUUUCAUUAAUCAGUGAACGAAAGUUAGGGGAUCGAAGACGAUCAGAUACCGUCGUAGUCUUAACCGUAAACUAUGCCGACUAGGGAUCGGGCGAUGUUUCUAUCUUGACUCGCUCGGCACCUUACGAGAAAUCAAAGUUUU
Molecule: ribosomal RNA, 1022 nt
Filed under: Dematiomelanomma yunnanense
Lineage: Eukaryota; Fungi; Ascomycota; Dothideomycetes; Pleosporales; Melanommataceae
Description: SSU rRNA
Rfam family: Eukaryotic small subunit ribosomal RNA
Source: RNAcentral